RNAcentral lists this non-coding RNA (21 nucleotides) under Caenorhabditis elegans. The record is from RNAcentral. Lineage: Eukaryota; Metazoa; Nematoda; Chromadorea; Rhabditida; Rhabditidae.
UAACUCCAUGUAUGCAAUUAG